This 113-nucleotide Y RNA is filed under the name Microcebus murinus (gray mouse lemur). RNAcentral's name for it is "Y RNA (ENSMICG00000047591.1)". It matches the Rfam family "Y RNA". From Rfam's summary of the family: Y RNAs are components of the Ro ribonucleoprotein particle (Ro RNP), in association with Ro60 and La proteins. The Y RNAs and Ro60 and La proteins are well conserved, but the function of the Ro RNP is not known. The record is from Rfam by way of RNAcentral. Lineage: Eukaryota; Metazoa; Chordata; Mammalia; Primates; Cheirogaleidae.
GGCUGGUCCAAAGAUAGUGAGUUAUCUCAAUUAAUUGCUCACAGUCAGUUACAUAUCAAACUCCUUGUUCUAUUAUUUCCCCUCUUCUCACCACUACACUUGACUAGUCUUAA